This 250-nucleotide long non-coding RNA is filed under the name Capsicum annuum. RNAcentral's name for it is "long non-coding RNA (CANN_LNC007363)". Lineage: Eukaryota; Viridiplantae; Streptophyta; Magnoliopsida; Solanales; Solanaceae. The record is from RNAcentral.
UUUCACUUGGAAACUAUGAAAUAAACAUCACGAAAACACUAGUGCACUAGAACUUCAUAACCAUAAUAAUUGAUCAUGACCUAACGGUUUUCCUUAUCAUAAUCCAUUAGCAUGUACUAUUUCAGCACAUCAAGCCUACUAAUUUAAUCCCACAAAACAUGCAUCAUCAAACUCUUGCCACUAUUUACCACCACACCAUUUAAAUUCAAGCCUAUAGUUUAGUAUCAAUUAUUUACCACCAAUGAAGAAU